UACGUAGGGUGCGAGCGUUAAUCGGAAUUACUGGGCGUAAAGUGUGCGCAGGUGGCUUCGCAAGUCGAGUGUGAAAUCCCCGGGCUUAACCUGGGAAUUGCGCUCGAAACUACGGAGCUGGAGUGUGGCAGAGGGAGGUGGAAUUCCACGUGUAGCGGUGAAAUGCGUAGAGAUGUGGAGGAACAUCAAUGGCGAAGGCAGCCUCCUGGGCCAACACUGACACUCAUGCACGAAAGCGUGGGGAGCAAACAGG
RNAcentral lists this ribosomal RNA (253 nucleotides) under uncultured bacterium. Its description in RNAcentral is "partial 16S ribosomal RNA". It matches the Rfam family "Bacterial small subunit ribosomal RNA", at positions 524 to 776 of the family's 1533-position model. The record is from RNAcentral.